This 253-nucleotide ribosomal RNA is filed under the name uncultured bacterium. RNAcentral's name for it is "partial 16S ribosomal RNA". It matches the Rfam family "Bacterial small subunit ribosomal RNA", at positions 524 to 776 of the family's 1533-position model. The record is from RNAcentral.
UACGGAGGGUGCAAGCGUUAAUCGGAAUUACUGGGCGUAAAGCGUGCGCAGGCGGUUUGUUAAGUCUGCUGUGAAAUCCCCGAGCUCAACUUGGGAAUUGCAGUGGAUACUGGCAGGCUGGAGUAUGGUAGAGGAAGGUGGAAUUCCCGGUGUAGCGGUGAAAUGCGCAGAUAUCGGGAAGAACACCCGUGGCGAAGGCGGCUCUCUGGGACGGUACUGACGCUGAGACGCGAAAGCGUGGGGAGCGAACAGG